GUUUUUGGUUAUUUAUCUUGAAUAUUAUUAUAGAUAGAGAUAAACUGUAAACAGCAAUAAUGUUCAGCAAAGUAAGAUUUACAAAUAAGUCAACAUGACCGAAAUGGUCAGUUGACCCCUUAAGGAUUAUUGCCCUUUAUAGUCAAUUUUUAACCAUUUUUCGUAAAUCUUAGUAAUCUUUUACAAAAAUCUUCUCCUCUGAAACUACUGGGCUAAAUUAAUCCAAACUUGGCCACAAUCAUCUUUGGGGUAUGUAGUUCAAAAAAUGUGUCCGGUGACCCGGCCAUCCAACCAAGAUGGCUGCCACAGCUAAAUAUAGGACAUAGGGGUAAAAUGCAGUUUUUGGCUUAUAACUCAAAAAUCAAAGCAUUUAGAGCAAAUCUGACAUGGGGUAAAAUUGUGUAUCAG
This 408-nucleotide long non-coding RNA is filed under the name Mytilus galloprovincialis (Mediterranean mussel). Lineage: Eukaryota; Metazoa; Mollusca; Bivalvia; Mytilida; Mytilidae. The record is from RNAcentral.